This 72-nucleotide transfer RNA is filed under the name Holosporaceae bacterium. RNAcentral's name for it is "tRNA-Val". It matches the Rfam family "tRNA". Rfam says of the family: Transfer RNA (tRNA) molecules are approximately 80 nucleotides in length. Lineage: Bacteria; Pseudomonadati; Pseudomonadota; Alphaproteobacteria; Holosporales; Holosporaceae. The record is from RNAcentral.
GGACGCUUAGCUCAGAGGUAGAGCGCUACCUUCACACGGUAGAAGUCAUAGGUUCGAAUCCUAUAGCGUCCA